Molecule: ribosomal RNA, 1473 nt
Filed under: Triticum aestivum (bread wheat)
Lineage: Eukaryota; Viridiplantae; Streptophyta; Magnoliopsida; Poales; Poaceae
Description: partial small subunit ribosomal RNA
Source: RNAcentral
AUGGGGCCGCCCCGUGGCGCUUCUCGCGCUACUCUCGCCCUCCUCCUCCUCCUCGCGCUGUCGGCGGCGCUCGCCCCCGCCCGCGCGGCCGCCACGGGCGUCUUCGAGGUGCGCCGCAAGUUCCCGCGCCACGACGGGAGCGGCAAGCACCUGGCGGGCCUCCGGGAGCACGACGCGCGCCGCCACGGCCGCUCCCUCGCCGCCGCCGUCGACCUGCCCCUCGGCGGCAACGGCCUCCCCACCGAGACCGGGCUCUACUUCACGCAGAUUGGGAUCGGCACGCCGGCCAAGAGCUACUACGUGCAGGUGGACACCGGCAGCGACAUACUCUGGGUCAACUGCGUCUCCUGCGACACCUGCCCCCGCAAGAGCGGCCUCGGGAUAGAGCUGACGCUGUACGACCCGAGCGGAUCGUCGAGCGGCACCGGGGUCACGUGCGGCCAGGAGUUCUGCGUGGCGACUCACGGCGGCGUGCUCCCGUCCUGCGUCCCCGCCGCGCCGUGCCAGUACAGCAUCUCAUACGGAGACGGAAGCUCCACGACGGGAUUCUUUGUCACGGACUUCUUGCAGUACAACCAGGUGUCUGGCAAUAGCCAAACCACCCCGGCCAAUACAAGCAUCACGUUUGGGUGCGGUGCUAAGAUUGGUGGAGAUUUGGGGUCGUCAAGCCAGGCUCUUGACGGGAUUCUUGGAUUUGGUCAGUCAAAUUCAUCCAUGCUGUCGCAGUUAGCGGCUGCAGGAAAAGUGAGGAAGGUCUUCGCACAUUGCUUGGACACCAUAAAUGGUGGAGGGAUUUUUGCUAUUGGGGAUGUCGUGCAGCCCAAAGUGAGCACAACGCCGUUGGUGCCCGGCAUGCCGCAUUACAAUGUCAACUUGGAAGCAAUUGAUGUUGGUGGUGUUAAGCUACAGCUUCCAACAAAUAUUUUUGGUAUAGAGGAAAGUAAGGGUACCAUUAUUGACAGUGGAACAACAUUGGCGUAUCUACCAGGGGUGGUUUAUAAUGCUAUAAUGUCUAAGGUAUUUGCUCAGUAUGGAGAGAUGCCCUUAAAAAAUGAUCAAGAUUUCCAAUGUUUCAGAUAUUCUGGAAGUGUAGACGAUGGAUUUCCUAUAAUCACCUUUCACUUUGAGGGCGGCCUUCCACUGAAUAUUCAUCCACAUGACUAUCUUUUUCAAAAUGGGGAGCUGUACUGCAUGGGGUUCCAGACUGGUGGAUUGCAAACCAAGGAUGGAAAAGAUAUGGUGCUUUUGGGAGAUCUAGCAUUUUCAAACAGACUGGUUCUUUAUGAUUUGGAAAACCAAGUUAUUGGAUGGACCGAUUACAACUGCUCCUCCAGCAUUAAAAUCAAGGAUGACAAGACUGGAUCAAUAUAUACUGUGAAUGCACAUGAUAUCUCAUCUGGAUGGAGAUUUCAGUGGCACAAGCCCUUGUUUGUAUUGCUAGUAACGGCGCUGUGCAGCUAUACAAUGUUCUAA